RNAcentral lists this ribosomal RNA (585 nucleotides) under Escherichia coli. Its description in RNAcentral is "partial 16S ribosomal RNA". The record is from RNAcentral. Lineage: Bacteria; Pseudomonadati; Pseudomonadota; Gammaproteobacteria; Enterobacterales; Enterobacteriaceae.
CACACGCUGACGCUGACCACCGGAGAGCGCUUUCGGUUUGCGAUCCAGCAAAUGCGCCAGUUGCAGCACUUCCGCCACCUGGUUGACGCGUUGGUUAAUCACCUCUUUUUUUGCGCCAGCCAGUUUCAGGCCAAAUGACAUGUUUUCUGCUACUGACAGGUGGGGAUAGAGCGCGUAAGACUGAAACACCAUACCAACGCCGCGUUCUGCUGGCGGAGUGUCAUUCAUCCGUUUCUCACCGAUGAACAGGUCGCCGCUGGUGAUCGUCUCAAGCCCGGCAAUCAUGCGCAGUAAAGUCGAUUUACCGCAGCCAGACGGUCCGACAAACACCACGAAUUCACCUUCAUGGAUAUCGAGAUUGAUAUCUUUCGAUACCACGACCUCGCCCCAGGCUUUCGUUACAUUUUGCAGCUGUACGCUCGCCAUGCCCUUCUCCCUUUGUAACAACCUGUCAUCGACAGCAACAUUCAUGAUGGGCUGACUAUGCGUCAUCAGGAGAUGGCUUAAAUCCUCCACCCCCUGGCUUUUUUAUGGGGGAGGAGGCGGGAGGAUGAGAACACGGCUUCUGUGAACUAAACCGAGGUC